RNAcentral lists this ribosomal RNA (308 nucleotides) under uncultured eukaryote. RNAcentral's name for it is "partial 18S ribosomal RNA". It matches the Rfam family "Eukaryotic small subunit ribosomal RNA", at positions 1470 to 1796 of the family's 1831-position model. The record is from RNAcentral.
CCCUUAGAUGUCCUGGGCCGCACGCGCGCCACAAUGACUCACUCAGAAAGUUUUUCCUGAUCCGGAAGGAUUCGGGUAAUCUUCAUAGCAUGAGUCGUGUUAGGGAUCGAUCUUUGCAAUUAUAGAUCUUGAACGAGGAAUGCCUAGUAAGUGCAGCUCAUCAGGCUGUACUGAUUACGUCCCUGCCCUUUGUACACACCGCCCGUCGCUCCUACCGAUUGAGUGGUCCGGUGAACCUUCUGGAUUAAGCAGCAAUGCUUGAGAAGUUAGGUAAACCUUAUCACUUAGAGGAAGGAGAAGUCGUAACA